UACGGAGGGUGCGAGCGUUGUCCGGAAUCACUGGGCGUAAAGGGCGCGUAGGCGGCUCGAUGAGCGUGCGGUGAAAGCCCGGGGCUCAACCCCGGGUCGGCCGUGCGAACUGUCGAGCUGGAGCACUGUAGAGGCAGGUGGAAUUCCGGGUGUAGCGGUGGAAUGCGUAGAGAUCCGGAAGAACACCGGUGGCGAAGGCGGCCUGCUGGGCAGUAGCUGACACUGAGGCGCGACAGCGUGGGGAGCAAACAGG
Molecule: ribosomal RNA, 253 nt
Filed under: uncultured bacterium
Lineage: Bacteria
Description: partial 16S ribosomal RNA
Rfam family: Bacterial small subunit ribosomal RNA
Source: RNAcentral